GAGACGACGCUGGCGGCGUGCUUAACACAUGCAAGUCGAGCGGUAAGGCCCCUUCGGGGGUACACGAGCGGCGAACGGGUGAGUAACACGUGAGCAAUCUGCCCUUCACUUUGGGAUAACUCUGGGAAACGAGAGCUAAUACCGAAUACGACCACUUCAGGCAUCUGAUGGUGGUGGAAAGUUCCGGCGGUGAAGGAUGAGCUCGCGGCCUAUCAGCUAGUUGGUGGAGUAACGGCCCACCAAGGCUUCGACGGGUAGCCGGCCUGAGAGGGUGACCGGCCACACUGGGACUGAGACACGGCCCAGACUCCUACGGGAGGCAGCAGUGGGGAAUAUUGGACAAUGGGCGAAAGCCUGAUCCAGCAACGCCGCGUGAGGGAUGACGGCCUUCGGGUUGUAAACCUCUUUCAGUAGGGACGAAGCGCAAGUGACGGUACCUACAGAAGAAGCCCCGGCUAACUACGUG
Molecule: ribosomal RNA, 466 nt
Filed under: uncultured bacterium
Lineage: Bacteria
Description: bacterial SSU rRNA
Rfam family: Bacterial small subunit ribosomal RNA
Source: RNAcentral